This 253-nucleotide ribosomal RNA is filed under the name uncultured bacterium. RNAcentral's name for it is "partial 16S ribosomal RNA". It matches the Rfam family "Bacterial small subunit ribosomal RNA", at positions 524 to 776 of the family's 1533-position model. The record is from RNAcentral.
UACGUAGGGUGCAAGCGUUGUCCGGAAUUAUUGGGCGUAAAGAGCUCGUAGGCGGCCUGUCGCGUCUGCUGUGAAAUCCCGGGGCUCAACCCCGGGCCUGCAGUGGAUACGGGCUGGCUGGAGGCAGGCAGGGGAGAACGGAAUUCCUGGUGUAGCGGUGAAAUGCGCAGAUAUCGGGAGGAACACCGGUGGCGAAGGCGGUUCUCUGGGCCUGUACUGACGCUGAGGAGCGAAAGCGUGGGGAGCGAACAGG